This 23-nucleotide non-coding RNA is filed under the name Arabidopsis thaliana (thale cress). Lineage: Eukaryota; Viridiplantae; Streptophyta; Magnoliopsida; Brassicales; Brassicaceae. The record is from RNAcentral.
UGUAUUUAUUGGGUACACAAAUA